RNAcentral lists this long non-coding RNA (3660 nucleotides) under Papio anubis (olive baboon). RNAcentral's name for it is "lncRNA (ENSPANG00000043129.1)". The record is from RNAcentral. Lineage: Eukaryota; Metazoa; Chordata; Mammalia; Primates; Cercopithecidae.
ACAUCUUCUAAAAAUGGAUAAAGGCAGCAACAUGACAAGUUUGUUUUCAGCUCACAUAAGCCUUAAGAAUUGUUUUCUUCAUUAGUGCAUGACUUUCCUUGCAAUUCUGAUUCUGGGACCCAGUCUUCUGUCAUACUGUGGCUCUGGUAACUUCAAUAUAUGUUUUCCAAAACAAAUUAUCCAAGGCAUCUGGGUGAAUCUGAAACUAAAGACAAGAGCAUAGGAAAUGACAUGUAAUCAACUAUCAUGGACCACCAUGGAAAUAGCACUUACCACUUCUACACACAUCUCAUUGGCCAGGACUCGGUCAUGUAACCUCACCUGACUUUAGGGAACACUGGAAAUGUCUCCUAGUUGUAUGCUCAGGAGAAAAAGAGGGUGGGUUUGGUAAACAGCAGGCUAGUUUUUGCUACUUAAGGAAAAGAAGAAAUUCCCAUUCUACCCUCUUUCCUCUUCCAGUGAGAAGGCAUGACAAGGACCACAGCUGAUCCGCAUUCAGUGUGCAGCAGACAUUUAGGAGAGACUUUCAUCAGUGAUUCCAGAGACGGUUUUAUUUCAGUUCCUCUCCAGAGAGUUCUCUUAACAGGGAGAGCCCUCAUAUACCACAUAAGAAUUCCAGCAACCCUGCAGCUAUCCUGAAGCUGCCAUGCUGGAAAGGCCAACUGGGAGACCACAUAGAGACUGAGAGAGACUUCCAAGGACUCCAGCUAAUCCAGGACCCCAGCAGUUUGAAUCUCCCAGCAAUGCCACCAUACAGGAGAGGGAGCAAAUACUCAGAAGAUUCAAGCACCAGCUGCAUGGGUUGAUACCUACAUGAAAGGCAUUGCAUAAGAGUCCAGCCAACUCCCAGAAAUGUGAGAAAUAGUAAUGAAAUGAAUACUGUUGUUUAAGACCCCUGCGGAAUAGGGCAACUUGUUAUUCAGCAAUAGGUCACUGGAAAACCUUCUGAUACCUGUAAGUGAAGUGUUGCUCUAACAGAAUCUAAGACAUGAGGCAGUGGCUUUGGGACUAAGUAACUAAGGGACUUUGGGAUUAAGCGAUGAUGCAAACAUUGAAAAAACUUUAGAAAAACAGUGGGAGCUUAAUGAACCCCAAAGAGAUCAUCAGGAAAGACUUAAAAGGAAGUGAGAGUAAGGCAAUUAGGAGUUGGAAGAAAGGAGACUUUCUUAAAGAGUGGUAGACAGUUUAACGUCACUAAAUCCAGCUGUAAGGUGGAAAAUAGGCAAUCUACCUCAUGCUUUGGAUGAUCCAGUCAAGAUUUCUAGGUGGAAUGUUGGUAGUGCUGUGUGGCUUCUUCUUAUUAAACAUAGUAAAAUGUGAAAGGAGAUAGAAAAUCUAAAUAAAGAACUGUUAAAUAUAAGAGAGCUAGGACCUGCCAGGUUUUGAAAUAAAACUUUUUCUCAUGCCCAGCCCCACCAGUGGCCAAACAAUGCUGAAAUUCAGAAAUGACUUCUGGAAAGAAGACAAAUUUAUAAUUUUAGAAAAAUAUGAUGUAAGGGAGAAGCUAAGGGUAUCAAAAUAAAACACUUUGUUAAGUCCACAGAUCAAUUUAAGGUGUUGCCUAAUAGACCCUUUCAACAGACAGAAAUCCUUCUAAAGAUCUUGAGGGCAUGACUUGAAGAUUCUAUUCUUUAAACAACAGUUUUUCUGAGAACAUUAAGAUCAUUGUCCCACAGUGUUCCCCAAGGGAGUUCAUAGCACAGAAAGAAUUAUCUUGAAGAAAUUGUGGAGUGGCUUGGAUCUAAUGAAGUGAAUUAUAAAUUGAUUCAUUGAAAACCCAGAAUGUUUUUAAAGGAAUUAUAUUAGCUUACACUGAAAGGGCUAUCAAAACUAAGAAAAUACAAAGAGAUAUCAGAAUCCUUAGAUUCUACAGGUGGGAAGCAGGCUGAAAAACUACAAAGUGGAGUACAUGUGCUACAUUUUUUCAGAGCUAUAUGCUAUGGGAAUGAUUUCCAGACAUUAGAACUGAGCUCUGAUCAACAACUGACAACUUCCUUUCAGAUACCUGUUGGCCAUGAGUAUGCCUCUUUGGAGAAAUGUCUGUUUGGGUCCUCUGUUCAUUUUAAAAAAUUUUCAUUGAAGUAUUUGGGGUUGUUUGGUUGGUUUUGCUACUGAGUUAUAGGAAUUUCAUAUAUAUUUUGAAAAUUAAGCUCCUUCUCAGAUAUAUGAUUUGAAAACAUUUUCUCCCUUUCUGUAUGUUGCCUUUUUAUUCUGGUAACUCUUUUCUUUGCUAUACAGAACAUUCUGAAUUUGAUGUUGCACUUGUCUAGUUUUGUUUGUGUUGCCUAUGCUUUUUGUGUCACAUCCAAGAAAUCCUUGCCAAGAUUAAUGUUAAGAUGCUUUUCUCCUUUUUUUUUUUUUUUUUUUUUUUUGACUGAAUCUCACUCUGUCACCCAGGCUGGAAUGUAGUGGUGCAAUCUCGGCUCCCUGCAAACUCUGCCUCCCGGGUUCAGGUGAUUCUUGUGCCUCAGCCUCCCAAGUAACUGGGAUUACAGGCUCCCGCCAAUACACCCGGCUAUUUUUUCUAUUUUUAAUAGAGACAGGGUUUCACCAUGUUGACAAGCUGGUCUCGAACUGCUGAUCUCAAGUGAUCCACCCAUCUCGGCCUCCCAAAGUGUUGGGAUUACAGGCGUGAGCCACAGCCCCUGGCCUCCUGUAGGUUUUUUGUUUUUUUGUUUUAGGUUUUACAGUUUCAGGUCUUGCAUUUAAGUCUUUAAAACAUUUUGAGUUGGUUUUUGUGUAUAGUAUAAUGUGAUGGUUCAAUUUUAUUUUUUUACAUGAGGAUAUACAGUGUUCCCAGCACUAUUUGUUAGAGACUAUCCAUUCUCCAUUGUAUAUUCUUGGUACCUUCAUCAAAAAGGUACCAAGGCCAAAUUGUAUAUGCAUGGAUUUAUUUCUGGACUCCCUGUUCUGUUCCAUGCAUCUACAUGUCUGUCUUUACGCCAGUAUCAGACUAAUUUCUGGAGCUUUUAAUAUAUUUUGAAAUCAGAAAUUUCAGGGAGAUGAAAGUCAAAACCACAAUGACAUAUUACCUCACACCUGUUAGUAUGGCUAAUUUCAAAAUAAGAAACAGAAGUUAACAAGUGUUGGUGCAGAUGUGGAAAUUUUGGAACCCUCAUACGCUGUUGAUGGGAACGCAAAAUGGUAUAGCCACUAAGGAAAACAGUGAUAAAGUUUCUCAAAAAUUAAAAAUAGAACUACCAUAUGAUCUAAUAAUCUUCCAUCUGGUUACAUAUUCCAAAGAAUUGAAAUCAGGAUCUUGAAGAGAUAUCUGAACUCCCAUAUUCAUUGCAGCAUUAUUCACAAGAAUCAAGAUAUGGAAAUAACCCAUGUCCACUGACAGACGAAUAGAUGAGGGAAAUGUGGCAUACAUACACAAUGGAAUAUUAUUCAGCCUUAAAAAAGGUAAGAAAUCCUGAAUCCUGUUAUUUCUGACAACAUGCAACUGCAAGACAUUAUGGUAAGUGAAAUAAAAGAGUCACAGAAGGACAAAUACUUAAGAUUCCACUUUUAUAAGAUGUGUAUAAUAGUAAAACUUACAGAAAUAAGAAUACAGUAGUGGUUGCCAGGGAUUAAGGGGAUGGAGAAAACAGGAAUUAGUUUUUCAAUGGGUUUAAAAUCUUAACUAGAUGAAGAAGUUCUAGAGAUAUGCUGUACAAC